GGAUGACACUCUGAUCUUUUGAGUUUAAUCUUUUUUGAAUCUUUUUGAAUCAUUUCUAAUCUUUCCGAAUCAUGCAUAUCAAAAAGGAAAGAAAUUUUUGAUUCAGUGUCUGAAGAACACCUGUCAAACCGAACCUCGUUCGCGCGCACGAAAUAAACAAGUGAAAACAAAACACCAAAGAGCAGCGGUGAACAUUGCUUAAAUUGUUAAUAUUCUUGGCUGACAUGCCGGAGUGUUCCAACUGGAAAUUCCAGCUUGACGUGCCGUAGACAGCCACCUUUCUGAGCGUUCGUCAGUCAUCGAUUUGCUGCCAGCUAGAAUUUUCCUCGACCCAUACCUACUUCAUUUUCGAAGGUGCUCCACAACUAGCCUCUGGGUCUAUUCUGCUGCGAAGUUCUGAUGGAUUCGUACAGUAAAUUACCGUUCUCGUUGUGAAAACGAUUCUACUAGUAAGGCGAAAAACAUUAGGUUGGUGUCGACGGUCUGCCACGAUAUGUCAGCGUAUUUUUCGUGUAAAGCUGCCGCGAAAAGAACAAGCUCCGGAAUUAGCGUUUUGAUUUGGAGACGCAGAAGUAGGUACACAGGAGAUGGAGAAACAGCUGACCAGGGAAUCGAACGUAGUUUGCGACGAAAACGGCACUUCUGCUAAUCAUGGAGCAGCUUCUUCACCGGUCUCAUUUAUCAAAUGCUUUGUAAUAUUUCUUUCUGUUUUUAUGUAAUAUUAAUAAAAAAAAUGCGGUGGGUGGGGGUGA
Long non-coding RNA from Aedes albopictus (Asian tiger mosquito), 752 nucleotides. RefSeq lists it as uncharacterized. The record is from RefSeq and is a predicted model, not a curated record. Lineage: Eukaryota; Metazoa; Arthropoda; Insecta; Diptera; Culicidae. The transcript has 4 exons.